Molecule: unclassified non-coding RNA, 256 nt
Filed under: uncultured fungus
Lineage: Eukaryota; Fungi
Description: sequence contains ITS1
Source: RNAcentral
GUUUUUCAUUUCACUAUGUGAAUUGAUUCAGACUUAAUAAAAGUAAAACUAUGGUUUGAUACUGGUGGGUCAGGUGAAAAUAAAUUCAAACCCUCCCACCGUCGGCAGCCCAAAAUCACCCCAUCCGAGCAAACGGGGGGAGCGAUCAGCCAAUCAAGACCUUAACAGGACUGCCAGAGACAUAUAUAGUGCACACAAAUGUUUGGUAUGAGAACCAAAUUUUGUAAUGAUCCAACCGCAGGUUCACCUACGGUUA